UGUGGGAGCGAGCCUGCUCGCGAUAGCGGUGGGUCAGUUGGCUCAGUGCUGACUGACCUUCCGCUAUCGCGAGCAGGCUCGCUCCCACA
RNAcentral lists this unclassified non-coding RNA (89 nucleotides) under Pseudomonas corrugata. The record is from RNAcentral. Lineage: Bacteria; Pseudomonadati; Pseudomonadota; Gammaproteobacteria; Pseudomonadales; Pseudomonadaceae.